This is a long non-coding RNA of Coffea arabica (coffee), 763 nucleotides long. RefSeq lists it as uncharacterized. NCBI's taxonomy places the organism in Eukaryota, Viridiplantae, Streptophyta, Magnoliopsida, Gentianales, Rubiaceae. The record is from RefSeq and is a predicted model, not a curated record.
AUCUGGACGGCCAAGAACUAAAAAUCCGAGAGGGGUAGGAAGGGUUUUGGUGAGAGAAAGCUGGGGAAUGAUCUGUGAGCUGAGAAAACAAAAACAAAGAGAGAGGGGAGCCGCAAGAGAAAGGGGGCUUCGGCCAAAACAAAAGGGAAAACCAACGGGGAGAGAAACAAAAGCAAAAAAAGAAAACCCACCCGAGGAUUGAGGAGAGAGUUACGGGAGAAAGAGUAAACGGCAAAAGAAAACAUCAUAGAGAGACGGACGGCUGCAAGGAUCUGGAGAAAGGAAAGAAAUCUGGGAAAAGUCCGAAAGAGAGUUUGGGGUGGCGGCGGAGAGCUUGACAGCCUGGUGAGAGGAAAGGGAAAUAGCAAAGAGGGGGCAUCGAUUGACUGCGGCAAAGAUUUGGAAAGGCUAGUGACGGUUGAGAAGUUGGUUGGACGGCUGAAACCAGAAGGAGACUGAAAGAAACCCCAAGCAGCGACUUCAUCAGACUCUGCAAUCGAUUUCUUCAUCACCCAAGCUGAAGCUUCAAACCCAAAGGUGGUCAACAGGUAUGUGAUUGGAUGUGGAGUUGGCAUUUGGGAGUGAAACAUGAAGGAAAUGCAGCUGAAUUGGCGCAGAAAUGAAAGGCUUCUACGUGUUUUGCAUGCAUGGAUAAUUUCAGAAUUGUCUCUUAACCCCCCAAGUCUCCCCUUGUUCUACUAUGACCCAGAAAUUGGAAGGAUUAAUCAAUUUAGUCCAUGAGAUUUUGCAGCAAUGCUACAAA